GUUAUAUGGUCAAGCGAAUAAGCGCACACGGUGGAUGCCUUGGCGGUCAGAGGCGAUGAAGGACGUGGCAGCCUGCGAAAAGUAUCGGGGAGCUGGCAACAAGCUUUGAUCCGGUAAUGUCCGAAUGGGGAAACCCACCCGCUUGCGGGUAUCCUGCAGUGAAUACAUAGCUGCUGGAAGCGAACCUGGUGAACUGAAAUAUCUAAGUAACCAGAGGAAAAGAAAUCAACCGAGAUUCCGUAAGUAGCGACGAGCGAACGCGGACUAGCCCUUAAGCUGGAUUGGUUCUAGGAAAACGCUCUGGAAAGAGCGGCCAUAGAAGGUGAUAGCCCUGUAUCUGAAAGGGCCAUUCCAGUGAAGACGAGUAGGGCGGGGCACGUGAAACCCUGUCUGAACAUGGGGGGACCAUCCUCCAAGGCUAAAUACUACUGACCGACCGAUAGUGAACCAGUACCGUGAGGGAAAGGCGAAAAGAACCCCGGAGAGGGGAGUGAAAUAGAACCUGAAACCGUGUGCGUACAAGCAGUAGGAGCUCCGCAAGGAGUGACUGCGUACCUUUUGUAUAAUGGGUCAGCGACUUACUGUUCGUGGCAAGCUUAACCGUAUAGGGGAGGCGAAGGGAAACCGAGUCUGAUAAGGGCGCAUAGUCGCGGGCAGUAGACCCGAAACCGGGUGAUCUAGUCAUGCCCAGGGUGAAGGUGCGGUAACACGCACUGGAGGCCCGAACCCACUCCCGUUGCAAAGGUAGGGGAUGAGGUGUGAUUAGGAGUGAAAAGCUAAUCGAACCCGGAGAUAGCUGGUUCUCCUCGAAAGCUAUUUAGGUAGCGCCUCAUAUGUAUCCUCUCGGGGGUAGAGCACUGUUAUGGCUAGGGGGUCAUCGCGACUUACCAAACCAUUGCAAACUCCGAAUACCGAGACGGACUGUAUGGGAGACACACGGCGGGUGCUAACGUCCGUCGUGAAAAGGGAAACAACCCAGACCCACAGCUAAGGUCCCAAAUUUUGUGCUAAGUGGAAAACCAUGUGGAAAGGCACAGACAGCCAGGAGGUUGGCUUAGAAGCAGCCACCCUUUAAAGAAAGCGUAAUAGCUCACUGGUCGAGUCGGUCUGCGGGGAAGAUUUAACGGGGCUAAGCACAGAACCGAAGCUUGGGGUGCAUAACUUUGUUAUGCGCGGUAGAGGAGCGUUCCGUAAGCCGUUGAAGGUGGAUUGAGAAGUCUGCUGGAGGUAUCGGAAGUGCGAAUGCUGACAUGAGUAACGAUAAUGCGGGUGAAAAACCCGCACGCCGAAAGCCCAAGGUUUCCUUGCGCAACGUUAAUCGGCGCAGGGUGAGUCGGCCCCUAAGGCGAGGACGAAAGUCGUAGUCGAUGGGAAGCAGGUUAAUAUUCCUGCACCUCGCGUAAGUGCGAUGGAGGGACGGAGAAGGUUAGGUGUACCAGGCGUUGGUUGUCCUGGGGAAAGGCGGUAGGUUUGGAUCUUUGGCAAAUCCGGGAUCCUCUAAGACCGAGCACCGAGACGAGCCUUUAAGGCGAAGUCACUGAUACCACGCUUCCAGGAAAAGCUCCUAAGCUUCAGCUUACGCAGACCGUACCGUAAACCGACACAGGUGGGUAGGAUGAGAAUUCUCAGGCGCUUGAGAGAACUCGGGUGAAGGAACUAGGCAACAUGGCACCGUAACUUCGGGAGAAGGUGCACCCUUUUUGGUGGCUCGUGCGAGCUAUAGCUGAAGAGGGUCGCAGUAACCAGGCCGCUGCGACUGUUUAUCAAAAACACAGCACUCUGCAAACACGAAAGUGGACGUAUAGGGUGUGACGCCUGCCCGGUGCUGGAAGGUUAAUUGAUGGGGUCAGCCGCAAGGCGAAGCUCUUGAUCGAAGCCCCAGUAAACGGCGGCCGUAACUAUAACGGUCCUAAGGUAGCGAAAUUCCUUGUCGGGUAAGUUCCGACCUGCACGAAUGGCGUAACGACAGCGGCGCUGUCUCCACCCGAGACUCAGUGAAAUUGAAAUCGCUGUGAAGAUGCAGCGUUCCCGUGGCAAGACGGAAAGACCCCGUGAACCUUUACUAUAGCUUUACACUGAACGUUGAGUUCGUCUGUGUAGGAUAGGUGGGAGGCUAUGAAACUGUGGCGCUAGCUGCAGUGGAGCCAUCCUUGAAAUACCACCCUGUCGUGCUUGACGUUCUAACCUGGGCCCAUUAUCUGGGUCGGGGACCGUGUAUGGUGGGUAGUUUGACUGGGGCGGUCUCCUCCUAAAGAGUAACGGAGGAGCUCGAAGGUACGCUCAGCGCGGUCGGACAUCGCGCACUGUGUGCAAAGGCAUAAGCGUGCUUGACUGCAAGAUCGACGGAUCAAGCAGGUAGGAAACUAGGACUUAGUGAUCCGGUGGUUCUGUAUGGAAGGGCCAUCGCUCAACGGAUAAAAGGUACUCCGGGGAUAACAGGCUGAUACCGCCCAAGAGUUCAUAUCGACGGCGGUGUUUGGCACCUCGAUGUCGGCUCAUCACAUCCUGGGGCUGUAGUCGGUCCCAAGGGUAUGGCUGUUCGCCAUUUAAAGUGGUACGCGAGCUGGGUUCAGAACGUCGUGAGACAGUUCGGUCCCUAUCUGCCAUGGGCGUUGGAGAUUUGAGAGGGGCUGCUCCUAGUACGAGAGGACCGGAGUGGACGAACCUCUGGUGUUCCGGUUGUCACGCCAGUGGCAUUGCCGGGUAGCUAUGUUCGGAAGCGAUAACCGCUGAAAGCAUCUAAGCGGGAAGCGCGCCUCAAGAUGAGAUCUCCCGGGGCACAAGCCCCCUGAAGGAACCAUGUAGACUACGUGGUUGAUAGGUCAGGUGUGUAAGUACAGCAAUGUAUUGAGCUAACUGAUACUAAUGAUCCGUGCGGCUUGACCAUAUAACCU
Molecule: ribosomal RNA, 2894 nt
Filed under: Stenotrophomonas maltophilia
Lineage: Bacteria; Pseudomonadati; Pseudomonadota; Gammaproteobacteria; Lysobacterales; Lysobacteraceae
Description: bacterial LSU rRNA
Rfam family: Bacterial large subunit ribosomal RNA
Source: RNAcentral